CGCCACUAACUCCACCUGGUCUCCCCCACCUCGGGAUCUUGCCCGAUCCAAAAAUCCUCAUCGGGAUCCCCUGCCCGAUCCACCCAACCAGCUCGUAGCCGCCUCCCCUUCCCUGCUCCCGUGCGUGUCCAGCACCACAGGAGAGGUGCUCCUCGAGCCCUCGAUCCAGCGCGCAGAUGCUCGAGCGCUCCUCCUCGUGACCCGCCGCCCCGGCGAACCGUCACCGUCGGCGACCACUUCCAUCAGGCCGGACCCCGCUCCCCUCGUUGCUUCUCCUUCUCCCGUUCCCUCCGUUUUCCCUCUCUCACUUACUCUCUGUCAUCUCCAGGAAACUGCAGGAGGCAAGCACCAUGCCAUGGCAUCCCCUGCUCGACGACUGCGUCGCCGUCGUCGACUUCGCGCCCAUCCCCGCCUGAUUCUGCAGCGCCGCCGCCCGUCUUCUUCGUUCAAGGCAAGCUCUGCUGCUGUCCUGCUCGAGCUGCCAAGUCCCUGUCGCCUCGCCGCUGUACCCCGUCCUCGACCUCAUUCAGCAGCCCCCGCCGCAAGCCGCGACCUCCACAGCCUCCUCCCGAAUCUGCUCCGCCUCGCCUCUGCCGGAUCGGAGCAGCACCGGACCAGCAGGACCGUGCCCUUCCUCUCCAGCCUCCCCUCUGUUUUCUUCUAGAUCACCGGCAACGCUCUCUCUCAGGAUCUCUCUUCUCUCUCGCUUCUCUCCACAGGGAACCGAAGCCAUGGCCACCGGCCGUCCAUGGUCGCCGCCGCAAGGAUCUGCUCGCCUCCGCUGCCUCCGCGCCAUCCCUGUCGCCGGAGGAUGCAGCCCCGCCGCUUCCAAGUCCUCUGCUUCGCCCGUGGUCGAGCGAGACGACCAUAAACGCAGCCGCGUUGACCGCCCGCUCGCCAGCGCCUUUCUGCCUCGCUGGCAAGGCCCAGCCUGCUCCAGCUCCUCAUCCGGCAUGCCAGGCCUCUCCACCAGCUGGGCCGAGGCCCAUGGUGAGAACCUCCCCCAGCGCCCAUGUCCUGUUUCAGCCUGUGCUCUAAUUCAGCCCGCAUGUGUUUUUUUUACUGCUGCGAAUUUAACAUUAUCCAUUGUAUUACUGAUUUACAGAAAACCCCUCCAUGUUCAUGCAUAUAAUAACUCAUUAUCCGUGCGUCAUAUGUAAAUAAUUUAUAUAUGUGAUAUGCUCAGAAAAUUGUGUAGAUUAACAAUAUGCCACUUUCAUCCCAUGUUAAUAUGUUUAACAUGUUGUUUACAUUAAUUUGCUCCUAUGCCAUGCUAAAAUGAUUUAUUUCAUAACUAUUUAACCGUAACUCCGAAUUUAAUGUUCUUUAUAUGUAAAUGGGGUGGAAAAAUGCCUAGUUUAACAUGGUGCACUUUGUUUUAUUGUUUAACAACUUUAAAAUAUGUUUUAGGGCAGAACAGUAGCAAAUUCAUAAAUUGCAUAUGAGGUUUUUCCGAAAAUAUUGUUUGUUGUUCCGGCCUCAUUUAAACUUGCCUAAAUAUUUAGUUUACUUUUGUUACACCCCUUGACAUGUUUAACAACAUUUAACAUUGUUGUGUACCUAAACGAGAGCGAACUAAAUAACUCGGAUGUGGUGUUUCGUCAAUAUGCAACUCGUUGCAUAUUGAGCUCCACUUAACUUGUAGUAUUGUGUGUUGCACUUUGCCAUGCCAUGCCCCAUUAAACCGGACAUGCAUCAUAAUUGAUUGUGCAUCAUGCCAUAUUUAUGCUUGUGUGUUUAACAUGUUGUUUGUUUCUUUCCGGUGUUGCUUCUUAGUCCCGGUAAUGUUGCGAUUGUGAGGAUUCAUUCGACUACGUCCAUUUGUCUUCUUCAUGGACUCGUUCUUCUUCCUAGCGGGAUUUCAGGCAAGAUGACCGCUACCCUGGAUCUCACUACUAUCAUUGAUAUGCUAGUUGCUUCGUUCUAUCGCUAUGUUGCGCUACCUAUCAUUUUGUUCUAUCAAGCCUCCCAAAUUGCCAUGAACCUCUAACCUUUGACACCAUUCCUAGCAAACCGUUGCUUGGCUAUGUUACCGCUUUGCUCAGCCCUCUUAUAGCGUUGCUAGUUGCAGGUGAAGUUGAAGAUUGCUCCAUGGUGGAUAGGGUUAUGUUGGGAUAUUACAAUAUCUCUUAUAUUAUUAAUGCAUCUAUAUAUUUGGUAAAGGGUGGAAGGCUCGGCCUUAUGCCUGGUGUUUUGUUCCACUCUUGCCGCCCUAGUUUCUGUCAUACCGGUGUUAUGUUCCCGGAUUUUGCGUUCCUAACGCGGUCGGGUGAUUUAUGGGACCCCCUUGACAGUUCGCUUUGAUAAAACUUGUCCAGCAAGGCCCAACCUUGGUUUUACCAUUUGCCUCACCACCACCUAUACCCUUCCCUUGGGUCGGCCAACCCGAGGGUCAUCUUUAUUUUAGCCCCCCCGGGCCAGUGCUUGUCUAAGUGCUGGUCCGAACUGAGUAGACCGCGGGGCCCCCUCGGGGCAACUCGAGGUCUGGUUUUACUCGUAGGAUGUCUCAUCUGGUGUUACCCUGAGAACGAGAUAUGUGCAGCUCCUAUCGGGAUUGUCGGCGCAUCGGGCGGCUUUGCUGGUCUUGUUUUACCAUUGUCGAAAUGUCUUGUAAACCGGGAUUCCAAGACUGAUCGGGUCUUCCUGGGAGAAGGUCUAUUCCUUCGUUGAUCACGAGAGCUUGUCAUGGGCUAAGUUGGGACACCCCUGCAGGGUAUAAACUUUCGAGAGCCGUGCCCGCGGUUAUGUUGCAGAUGGGAAUUUGUUAAUGUCCGGUUGUAGAUAACUUGACACCAGAUCCGAAUUAAAAUGCAUCAACCGCGUGUGUAGCCGUGAUGGUCUCUUCUCGGUGGAGUCCGGGAAGUGAACACGGUUUCUGGGUUAUGUUUGACGUAAGUAGGUGUUCAGGAUCACCUCUUGAUCAUUGCUAGCUUCACGACUGUUCCUUUGUUUCUCUUCUCGCUCUCAUUUGCGUAUGUUAGCCACCAUAUAUGCUUAGCCGCUGCUGCAACCUCACCACUUUACCCCUUCCUUACCCAUUAAGCUUUGCUAGUCUUGAUACCCAUGGUAAUGGGAUUGCUGAGUCCUCGUGGCUCAUAGUUACUUCCAAAACCAGUUUGCAGGUACCAAUGUUACCAAGCAGGUGACGCCACCAAGCUCAAGGAGGAGCUCGAUGAAGAUCUUGCCCUUUGUGUUGUUUCGUUCUAGUUGAUCAGUAGUGGAGCCCAGUUGGGGUCGAUCGGGGACCUUUGUCACAUUUGGGGUUCUUCUUUUAUUUUGGUUCCGUAGUCGGACCUUGAUUGUAUCUGUAUGAUGUAAUGCUUUACUCAUGUAUUGUGUGAAGUGGCGAUUGUAAGCCAACUAUGUAUCUCUUUCCCUUAUGUAUUACAUGGGUUGUGUGAAGAUUACCUCACUUGCGACAUUGCUUUCAAUGCGGUUAUGCCUCUAAGUCGUGCUUCGACACGUGGGAGAUAUAGCCGCAUCGAGGGCGUUACAAGUUGGUAAUCAGAGCCUUCCCCGACCUUAGGAGCCCCACUGCUUGAUCGUUUUUAGCGGCCAAGUUGUGUCUAGAAAAAUGUUUUGAGUCAUUUAGGAUUAUAUAUAUCGGAGAGUUAGGAAUUCUUUUUACUCCCCAGUCUCUUCAUCGCUCUGGUAAGGCAUCCUGACGUAGAGUUUUGACUCUUCUCUUCUCAAAUUUCACUAAAUUUUUUUUAGGAUCACGCGGGUAUCUUGGAAUCAUUCCGAUGGUUUUAUGAUGAGAACAUUGUCUUGGUGCCUUCUGUCAGGGGUUUAGUGGAAGUGUCCUGGGGAGUUGAGCUCUGAGGUGUUG
This 3829-nucleotide long non-coding RNA is filed under the name Triticum aestivum (bread wheat). RNAcentral's name for it is "long non-coding RNA (TAES_LNC011734)". The record is from RNAcentral. Lineage: Eukaryota; Viridiplantae; Streptophyta; Magnoliopsida; Poales; Poaceae.